Molecule: non-coding RNA, 77 nt
Organism: Podarcis lilfordi (Lilford's wall lizard)
Lineage: Eukaryota; Metazoa; Chordata; Lepidosauria; Squamata; Lacertidae
Source: the annotation of a GenBank genome assembly
UGUUCUCUUACCGCAAGAUAUGAAUAACUGCCUCUUGAUUUCAGCAAGAGUUACUCACAUCCUGUGGGAAAGGAAGA